GACGAACGCUGGCGGCGUGCUUAACACGUGCAAGUCGAACGGAAAGGCCCUGCUUUUGUGGGGUGCUCGAGUGGCGAACGGGUGAGUAACACGUGAGUAACCUGCCCUUGACUUUGGGAUAACUUCAGGAAACUGGGGCUAAUACCGGAUAGGAGCUCCUGCUGCAUGGUGGGGGUUGGAAAGUUUCGGCGGUUGGGGAUGGACUCGCGGCUUAUCAGCUUGUUGGUGGGGUAGUGGCUUACCAAGGCUUUGACGGGUAGCCGGCCUGAGAGGGUGACCGGCCACAUUGGGACUGAGAUACGGCCCAGACUCCUACGGGAGGCAGCAGUGGGGAAUAUUGCACAAUGGGCGGAAGCCUGAUGCAGCAACGCCGCGUGCGGGAUGACGGCCUUCGGGUUGUAAACCGCUUUCGCCUGUGACGAAGCGUGAGUGAUGGUAAUGGGUAAAGAAGCACCGGCUAACUACGUG
Molecule: ribosomal RNA, 468 nt
Filed under: uncultured bacterium
Lineage: Bacteria
Description: partial 16S ribosomal RNA
Rfam family: Bacterial small subunit ribosomal RNA
Source: RNAcentral